This 443-nucleotide ribosomal RNA is filed under the name uncultured bacterium. RNAcentral describes it as "bacterial SSU rRNA". It matches the Rfam family "Bacterial small subunit ribosomal RNA", at positions 28 to 484 of the family's 1533-position model. The record is from RNAcentral.
GACGAACGCUGGCGGCGUGCCUAACACAUGCAAGUCGAACGGUGAACCGGGCUUCGGCCCGGGGAUCAGUGGCGAACGGGUGCGUAACACGUGGGCAACCUGCCCCCGACACUGGGAUAACUCCGGGAAACCGGAGCUAAUACCGGAUACUCUCGACCGAUCUCAUGACCGGUCGAGGAAAGGUCCGCCGGUUGGGGAUGGGCCCGCGGCCUAUCAGCUUGUUGGUGAGGUAACGGCUCACCAAGGCGACGACGGGUAGCUGGUCUGAGAGGACGACCAGCCACACUGGGACUGAGACACGGCCCAGACUCCUACGGGAGGCAGCAGUGGGGAAUCUUGCGCAAUGAGCGAAAGCUUGACGCAGCGACGCCGCGUGGGGAUGAAGGCCCUCGGGUUGUAAACCCCUUUCGGCAGGGACGAAGCGAACGUGACGGUACCUGCAG